GACGUAGGAUGCGAGCGUUGUCCGGAAUUAUUGGGCGUAAAGCGUUCGUAGGCGGCAUGCAAAGUCUGGUGUUAAAGCCCGGGGCUCAACCCCGGUUCGGCAUUGGAUACUUGCAAGCUGGAGUGCAGAAGAGGCAAAGGGAAUUCCUAGUGUAGCGGUGAAAUGCGUAGAUAUUAGGAGGAACACCGGUGGCGUAAGCGCUUUGCUGGUCUGUUACUGACGCUGAGGAACGAAAGCCAGGGGAGCAAAUGGGAUUAGAUACCCCAGUAGUCCUGGCCGUAAACGAUGGAUACUAGGUGUUGCAGGUAUCGACCCCUGCAGUGCUGUAGCUAACGCAAUAAGUAUCCCGCCUGGGGAGUACGCACGCAAGUGUGAA
RNAcentral lists this ribosomal RNA (376 nucleotides) under uncultured bacterium. RNAcentral describes it as "bacterial SSU rRNA". It matches the Rfam family "Bacterial small subunit ribosomal RNA", at positions 524 to 898 of the family's 1533-position model. The record is from RNAcentral.